UAGCUUUCUAGUUUUUACG
This 19-nucleotide microRNA is filed under the name Macrophomina phaseolina MS6. RNAcentral describes it as "miR-261". The record is from RNAcentral. Lineage: Eukaryota; Fungi; Ascomycota; Dothideomycetes; Botryosphaeriales; Botryosphaeriaceae.